CCCUUAGAUGUUCUGGGCCGCACGCGUGCUACACUGAGUGGAUCAGCGGGUCAGGUUGCGCGAAAGUGUUUCCUAAUCUUUAAAUCCGCUCGUGAUGGGGAUUGACGGUUGCAAUUUUCCGUCAUGAACGAGGAAUACCUUGUAAGCGCGGGUCAUCAUCCCGCGCUGAAUACGUCCCUGCCUUUGUACACACCGCCCGUCGCUCCUACCGAUUGAGUGGUCCGGUGAGGCUUUGGGAUCUGAGCGGAAAGAGCGUUUCGCUGUUUCUGCCCGGAAAACUCAGUCGAACCUUAUCAUUUAGAGGAAGGAGAAGUCGUAACA
This 321-nucleotide ribosomal RNA is filed under the name uncultured eukaryote. RNAcentral describes it as "partial 18S ribosomal RNA". It matches the Rfam family "Eukaryotic small subunit ribosomal RNA", at positions 1470 to 1796 of the family's 1831-position model. The record is from RNAcentral.